This 82-nucleotide small RNA is filed under the name Epilithonimonas xixisoli. RNAcentral describes it as "Chryseobacterium xixisoli Flavo-1 RNA". It matches the Rfam family "Flavo-1 RNA". Lineage: Bacteria; Pseudomonadati; Bacteroidota; Flavobacteriia; Flavobacteriales; Weeksellaceae. The record is from RNAcentral.
CCAUAGCCCCGAUAGUAGCGGCAUCCUUUUUUGCUAGGGAAAAGCUUUGGCAAAAAAGAUAUAGCGGAUAGCGGGAUUAAGC